AAAUGGAGAUAGGUUUGGGAAGGUUCUGGAAGGUUGGGAAGGUUCGGGAAGGUUGGGAAGGUUCGGGAAGGUUGGGAAGGUUUGGGAAGGUUCUGGAAGGUUCCAGAAGGUUUGGGAAGGUUGGGAAGGUUCCAGAAGGUUCCAGAAAGUUCAGGAAGGUUUGGGAAGGUUCAGGAAGGUUCAGGAAGGUUUGGAAGGUUCAGGAAGGUUCCAGAAGGCUCCAGAAGGUUCGGGAAGGUUGGGAAGGUUUGGGAAGGUUGGGAAGGUUGGGAAGGUUUGGGAAGGUUGGGAAGGUUGGGAAGGUUCAGGAAGGUUUGGAAGGUUCAGGAAGGUUCCAGAAGGCUCCAGAAGGUUCGGGAAGGUUCGGGAAGGUUUGGGAAGGUUCCGGAAGGUUGGGAAGGUUCAGGAAGGUUUGGGAAGGUUUGGGAAGGUUCGGGAAGGUUCCAGAAGGUUCAGGAAGGUUCAGGAAGGUUCAGGAGGGUUGGGAAGGUUCAGGAAGGUUCCAGAAGGUUCAGGAAGGUUGGCAAGGUUGAGAAGGUUCAGGAAGGUUCCAGAAGGUUCGGGAACAUUCAGGAAGGUUCCGGAAGGUUCAGGAAGGUUCCGGAACGUUCGGGAAGGCUCGGGAAGGUUCAGGAAGGUUCUGGAAGGUUCAGGAAGG
Molecule: long non-coding RNA, 658 nt
Filed under: Parus major (Great Tit)
Lineage: Eukaryota; Metazoa; Chordata; Aves; Passeriformes; Paridae
Description: lncRNA (ENSPMJG00000004437.1)
Source: RNAcentral